RNAcentral lists this ribosomal RNA (372 nucleotides) under uncultured bacterium. RNAcentral's name for it is "bacterial SSU rRNA". It matches the Rfam family "Bacterial small subunit ribosomal RNA", at positions 509 to 881 of the family's 1533-position model. The record is from RNAcentral.
CAGCAGCCGCGGUAAUACGUAGGUGGCAAGCGUUGUCCGGAAUUAUUGGGCGUAAAGCGCGCGCAGGUGGUUUAAUAAGUCUGAUGUGAAAGCCCACGGCUCAACCGUGGAGGGUCAUUGGAAACUGUUAAACUUGAGUGCAGGAGAGAAAAGUGGAAUUCCUAGUGUAGCGGUGAAAUGCGUAGAGAUUAGGAGGAACACCAGUGGCGAAGGCGGCUUUUUGGCCUGUAACUGACACUGAGGCGCGAAAGCGUGGGGAGCAAACAGGAUUAGAUACCCUGGUAGUCCACGCCGUAAACGAUGAGUGCUAAGUGUUGGUCUCAUAAGAGAUCAGUGCUGCAGCUAACGCAUUAAGCACUCCGCCUGGGGUGU